CUUGGUCAUUUACAGGAAGUAAAAGUCGUAACAAGGUUUCCGUAGGUGAACCUGCGGAAGGAUCAUUACUGAUUUGCUUAAUUGCACCACAUGUGUUUUUCUUUGAAACAAACUUGCUUUGGCGGUGGGCCCAGCCUGCCGCCAGAGGUCUAAACUUACAACCAAUUUUUUAUCAACUUGUCACACCAGAUUAUUACUAAUAGUCAAAACUUUCAACAACGGAUCUCUUGGUUCUCGCAUCGAUGAAGAACGCAGCGAAAUGCGAUACGUAAUAUGAAUUGCAGAUAUUCGUGAAUCAUCGAAUCUUUGAACGCACAUUGCGCCCUCUGGUAUUCCGGAGGGCAUGCCUGUUUGAGCGUCGUUUCUCCCUCAAACCGCUGGGUUUGGUGUUGAGCAAUACGACUUGGGUUUGCUUGAAAGACGGUAGUGGUAAGGCGGGAUCGCUUUGACAAUGGCUUAGGUCUAACCAAAAACAUUGCUUGCGGCGGUAACGUCCACCACGUAUAUCUUCAAACUUUGACCUCAAAUCAGGUAGGACUACCCGCUGAACUUAAGCAUAUCAAUAAGCGGAGGAA
Molecule: ribosomal RNA, 575 nt
Filed under: Candida albicans
Lineage: Eukaryota; Fungi; Ascomycota; Pichiomycetes; Serinales; Debaryomycetaceae
Description: eukaryotic LSU rRNA
Rfam family: 5.8S ribosomal RNA (bases 208-361)
Source: RNAcentral